UUGGAGGGCAAGUCUGGUGCCAGCAGCCGCGGUAAUUCCAGCUCCAAUAGCGUAUAUUAAAGUUGUUGCAGUUAAAAAGCUCGUAGUUGAAUUUCGGGAUCAAUUUAUUGGUCGUGCCAACGGUACGCACUGGUACAAUUGGUUUCUCCCUUCUGACGAAGCAUGAUGUCAUUAAUUUGAUGUCGUGGGGAAUCAGGACUGUUACUUUGAAAAAAUUAGAGUGUUUAAAGCAGGCUUUGGCUUGAAUACAUUAGCAUGGAAUAAUGAAAUAGGACGUUUGAUCUUAUUUCGUUGGUUUCUAAGAUCGACGUAAUGAUUAAUAGGGAUAGUUGGGGGCAUUAGUAUUCAAUUGUCAGAGGUGAAAUUCUUGGAUUUAUUGAAGACUAACUACUGCGAGGGGCAUUUGCCAAGGAUGUUUUCAUUAAUCAAGAACGAAAGUUAGGGGAUCGAAGACGAUCAGAUACCGUCGUAGUCUUAACCAUAAACUAUGCCGACUAGGGAUCGGAUGAUGUUAUAUUUUUUAAUGACUCAUUCGGCGCCUUACGGAAAC
This 550-nucleotide ribosomal RNA is filed under the name uncultured Glomeromycotina. Its description in RNAcentral is "SSU rRNA". It matches the Rfam family "Eukaryotic small subunit ribosomal RNA", at positions 548 to 1098 of the family's 1831-position model. The record is from RNAcentral. Lineage: Eukaryota; Fungi; Glomeromycota.